AGUUGAUUCUGGCUCAGGAUGAACGCUAGCGGCAGGCUUAACACAUGCAAGUCGAGGGGCAGCGGGAUGUAGCAAUACAUUGCCGGCGACCGGCGGAUGGGUGCGUAACGCGUAUGCAACCUACCUUAUACAGGGGAAUAACCUUUCGAAAGGGAGACUAACACCCCAUAGUAUUGAUUUAAGGCAUCUUAGAUUAAUUAAAUAUUUAUAGGUAUAAGAUGGGCAUGCGUAUGAUUAGCUAGUUGGUAAGGUAACGGCUUACCAAGGCGACGAUCAUUAGGGGUUCUGAGAGGAAGGUCCCCCACACUGGUACUGAGACACGGACCAGACUCCUACGGGAGGCAGCAGUGAGGAAUAUUGGUCAAUGGGCGCAAGCCUGAACCAGCCAUGCCGCGUGCAAGGAAGACGGCCUUAUGGGUUGUAAACUGCUUUUACAUAAGACUAACCGUAUAUUUGCGAAUAUACCUGAAUGUAUUAUGAGAAUAAGGAUCGGCUAACUCCGUGCCAGCCGCCGC
RNAcentral lists this ribosomal RNA (515 nucleotides) under uncultured bacterium. RNAcentral describes it as "bacterial SSU rRNA". It matches the Rfam family "Bacterial small subunit ribosomal RNA", at positions 10 to 518 of the family's 1533-position model. The record is from RNAcentral.